This 497-nucleotide ribosomal RNA is filed under the name uncultured bacterium. RNAcentral's name for it is "partial 16S ribosomal RNA". It matches the Rfam family "Bacterial small subunit ribosomal RNA", at positions 28 to 507 of the family's 1533-position model. The record is from RNAcentral.
GAUGAACGCUGGCGGCGUGCCUAAUACAUGCAAGUCGAGCGAACGGACGAGAAGCUUGCUUUUCUGAUGUUAGCGGCGGACGGGUGAGUAACACGUGGAUAACCUACCUAUAAGACUGGGAUAACUUCGGGAAACCGGAGCUAAUAUCGGAUAAUAUUUUGAACCGCAUGGUUCAAAAGUGAAAGACGGUCUUGCUGUCACUUAUAGAUGGAUCCGCGCUGCAUUAGCUAGUUGGUAAGGUAACGGCUUACCAAGGCAACGAUGCAUAGCCGACCUGAGAGGGUGAUCGGCCACACUGGAACUGAGACGCGGUCCAGACUCCUACGGGAGGCAGCAGUAGGGAAUCUUCCGCAAUGGGCGAAAGCCUGACGGAGCAACGCCGCGUGAGUGAUGAAGGUCUUCGGAUCGUAAAACUCUGUUAUUAGGGAAGAACAUAUGUGUAAGUAACUGUGCACAUCUUGACGGUACCUAAUCAGAAAGCCACGGCUAACUACGUG